This 67-nucleotide transfer RNA is filed under the name Austruca lactea. RNAcentral's name for it is "tRNA-Ser". Lineage: Eukaryota; Metazoa; Arthropoda; Malacostraca; Decapoda; Ocypodidae. The record is from RNAcentral.
GGAAUAUUAUGCCAAGACCAGAAGCUUCUAACUUCUUAAUAAGCGGUUAAAUUCCGUUUAUAUUCCU